RNAcentral lists this ribosomal RNA (497 nucleotides) under uncultured bacterium. RNAcentral describes it as "partial 16S ribosomal RNA". It matches the Rfam family "Bacterial small subunit ribosomal RNA", at positions 28 to 507 of the family's 1533-position model. The record is from RNAcentral.
GAUGAACGCUGGCGGCGUGCCUAAUACAUGCAAGUCGAGCGAACAGAUAAGGAGCUUGCUCCUUUGACGUUAGCGGCGGACGGGUGAGUAACACGUGGGUAACCUACCUAUAAGACUGGGAUAACUCCGGGAAACCGGGGCUAAUGCCGGAUAACAUUUAGAACCGCAUGGUUCUAAAGUGAAAGAUGGUUUUGCUAUCACUUAUAGAUGGACCCGCGCCGUAUUAGCUAGUUGGUAAGGUAACGGCUUACCAAGGCAACGAUACGUAGCCGACCUGAGAGGGUGAUCGGCCACACUGGAACUGAGACACGGUCCAGACUCCUACGGGAGGUAGCAGUAGGGAAUCUUCCGCAAUGGGCGAAAGCCUGACGGAGCAACGCCGCGUGAGUGAUGAAGGUCUUCGGAUCGUAAAACUCUGUUAUUAGGGAAGAACAAAUGUGUAAGUAACUGUGCACGUCUUGACGGUACCUAAUCAGAAAGCCACGGCUAACUACGUG